Molecule: unclassified non-coding RNA, 246 nt
Filed under: uncultured fungus
Lineage: Eukaryota; Fungi
Description: sequence contains ITS1
Rfam family: 5.8S ribosomal RNA (bases 1-117)
Source: RNAcentral
UGAAAGGCGAAACGUAAUGUGAAUCGCAACUAACAGUGAAUCAUCGAAUCUUUGAACGCAGGCCGCACUUUGCAGUAUCACUCUGUGUUACUGCAAGGUAUUUACGUAUGAGUGUCAGCCUAAUAUCCUUUUGGUUCAUGAGGGGAAUCGACUUCAACUCAUGAAUACACAAAUGUCAAGAGACAUAUCUUUAGAAACAUUUUGUGUGUCUGGCCUCAUAUGUGAAAGGUUACCCGCUGGAUUUAA